CCUACGGGAGGCAGCAGUGAGGAAUAUUGGUCAAUGGGCGCGAGCCUGAACCAGCCAAGUCGCGUGAGGGAAGACGGUCCUAUGGGUUGUAAACCUCUUUUGUCGGGGAGCAAAACACGCCACGCGUGGCGUUCCGAGAGUACCCGAAGAAAAAGCAUCGGCUAACUCCGUGCCAGCAGCCGCGGUAAUACGGAGGAUGCGAGCGUUAUCCGGAUUUAUUGGGUUUAAAGGGUGCGCAGGCGGAAGGCCAAGUCAGCGGUAAAAUUGAGAGGCUCAACCUCGUCUAGCCGUUGAAACUGGUUGUCGUGAGUGAGCGAGAAGUAUGCGGAAUGCGUGGUGUAGCGGUGAAAUGCAUAGAUAUCACGCAGAACUCCGAUUGCGAAGGCAGCAUACCGGCGCGCAACUGACGCUCAUGCACGAAAGCGUGGGUAUCGAACAGGAUUAGAUACCCGUGUAGUC
RNAcentral lists this ribosomal RNA (459 nucleotides) under uncultured bacterium. RNAcentral's name for it is "partial 16S ribosomal RNA". It matches the Rfam family "Bacterial small subunit ribosomal RNA", at positions 338 to 795 of the family's 1533-position model. The record is from RNAcentral.